GCGCGAAAACUCCACACUGCACGAAAGUGUGAUGGGGGGAUCCUCCGUGCUCAUGUCUAACAUGGGCUUUUGCCAAGACUAGAUACCUUGGCGAAUAAGGGGUGGGCAAGACUGGUGCCAGCCGCCGCGGUAACACCAGCGCCACGAGUGGCUAUCACGAUUAUUGGGCCUAAAGCGUCCGUAGUCAGUUCUGUACAUCUUCUGUGAAAUCGUUGCGCUUAACGUAACGGCACGCGGAAGACACGGCAGAGCUUGAGAGCGGGAGGCGUGAAGGGUACUCCGGGGGGACCGGUAAAAUGGUAUAAUCCCCGGAAGACCACCUGUGGCGAAGGCGCUUCACGAGAACGCAUCUGACGAUGAGGGACGAAAGCCAGGGGAGCAAACCGGAUUAGAUACCCAGGUAGUCCCUGAGCGGGCUGGCAAGGCGCAU
RNAcentral lists this ribosomal RNA (430 nucleotides) under uncultured bacterium. RNAcentral describes it as "bacterial SSU rRNA". It matches the Rfam family "Archaeal small subunit ribosomal RNA", at positions 339 to 776 of the family's 1478-position model. The record is from RNAcentral.